AUACGGAGGGUGCAAGCGUUAUCCGGAAUCAUUGGGUUUAAAGGGUCCGUAGGCGGGAAUCUAAGUCAGUGGUGAAAUCUUGCAGCUCAACUGUAAAAUUGCCAUUGAUACUGGAUUUCUUGAAUUAGUGUGAAGUGGUUAGAAUGUGUAGUGUAGCGGUGAAAUGCAUAGAUAUUACACAGAAUACCAAUUGCGAAGGCAGAUCACUAACACUAUAUUGACGCUAAGGGACGAAAGCGUGGGGAGCGAACAGGAUUAGAAACCCCGGUAGUCC
This 274-nucleotide ribosomal RNA is filed under the name uncultured bacterium. RNAcentral describes it as "partial 16S ribosomal RNA". It matches the Rfam family "Bacterial small subunit ribosomal RNA", at positions 523 to 796 of the family's 1533-position model. The record is from RNAcentral.